UGAGCAGAGAUAUGUGUGUAUCGGAAUUCUGAUUUAAAUGCAGUUUAAUCCGAAAGAAUUCUCUGCAAAAUUGAUUAUUGGUGAAGGUGGGCAGUAGAGUUUCAUGCUCCUAUGAUUUAUCAACAAUCAUUUUCUCCACAUCU
Small nucleolar RNA from Papaver somniferum (opium poppy), 143 nucleotides. RefSeq annotates it as small nucleolar RNA snoR135. The record is from RefSeq and is a predicted model, not a curated record. Lineage: Eukaryota; Viridiplantae; Streptophyta; Magnoliopsida; Ranunculales; Papaveraceae. The transcript has a single exon.